RNAcentral lists this transfer RNA (67 nucleotides) under Castor fiber (Eurasian beaver). RNAcentral's name for it is "transfer RNA-Tyr". The record is from RNAcentral. Lineage: Eukaryota; Metazoa; Chordata; Mammalia; Rodentia; Castoridae.
CUGGUAAAAAGAGGACUURACCCCUGUGGUUAGAUUUACAGUCUAAUGCUUACUCAGCCAUUUUACC